This 468-nucleotide ribosomal RNA is filed under the name uncultured bacterium. RNAcentral describes it as "partial 16S ribosomal RNA". It matches the Rfam family "Bacterial small subunit ribosomal RNA", at positions 28 to 507 of the family's 1533-position model. The record is from RNAcentral.
GACGAACGCUGGCGGCGUGCUUAACACAUGCAAGUCGAACGGCAAGGCCCUGCUUUUGUGGGGUGCUCGAGUGGCGAACGGGUGAGUAACACGUGAGUAACCUGCCCUUGACUUUGGGAUAACUUCAGGAAACUGGGGCUAAUCCCGGAUCGGAGCUGCUGCUGCAUGGUGGGGGUUGGAACGUUUCGGCGGUUGGGGAUGGACUCGCGGCUUACCAGCUUGUUGGUGGGGUAGUGGCUUACCAAGGCUGUGACGGGUAGCCGGCCUGUGAGGGUGACCGGCCACAUUGGGACUGAGAGACGGCCCAGACUCCUACGGGAGGCAGCAGUGGGGAAUAUUGCACAGUGGGCGGAAGCCUGAUGCAGCAACGCCGCGUGCGGGAUGACGGCCUUCGGGUUGUAAACCGCUUUCGCCUGUGACGAAGCGUGAGUGACGGUAAUGGGUAAAGAAGCACCGGCUCACUACGUG